CAGCGGCCCUAGUGGUGAUCGUUAUUAUUGGGCCUAAGGCGUCCGUAGCCGGUUCGGUAAAUCUCUGGGUAAAUCGUUGGGCUUAACUCAACGAAUUCUGGGGAGACUGCCGAACUUGGGACCGGGAGAGGUCGGAGGUACUCCAGGGGUAGGGGUGAAAUCCUGUAAUCCUUGGGGGACCACCGGUGGCGAAAGCGUCCGACCAGAACGGGUCCGACGGUAAGGGACGAAGCCCUGGGGCGCGAACCGGAUUAGAUACCCGCGUAGUCC
This 270-nucleotide ribosomal RNA is filed under the name uncultured archaeon. Its description in RNAcentral is "partial 16S ribosomal RNA". It matches the Rfam family "Archaeal small subunit ribosomal RNA", at positions 477 to 747 of the family's 1478-position model. The record is from RNAcentral.